Molecule: long non-coding RNA, 256 nt
Organism: Mastomys coucha (southern multimammate mouse)
Lineage: Eukaryota; Metazoa; Chordata; Mammalia; Rodentia; Muridae
Exons: 2
Source: RefSeq, a predicted model, not a curated record
GGUGAGUGGGCACCAGGCUUCUUUAACCAUCUGUGCCAGGUGACUCCCUGACGGUGGCAUCAACCCCAGGGUAGAUUAACCCUUUCCUGUUUAUGCCAAACGUUGUAAUUGAGCUUCCUAAAUCUGGAGCUGCUGCCGGUGGUGGAAGAGAUGGAGAGAAAGAGUUGGCUCUCCUACAGAACAUAUGAUGGAAGCUGUUUGCCAAAUACAGAAAAGUGUAAAUGAGAUGAUUAAAAUCACAGCUGAUCACCGUUAA